RNAcentral lists this ribosomal RNA (451 nucleotides) under uncultured bacterium. RNAcentral describes it as "bacterial SSU rRNA". It matches the Rfam family "Bacterial small subunit ribosomal RNA", at positions 354 to 796 of the family's 1533-position model. The record is from RNAcentral.
GUGGGGAAUUGUUCGCAAUGGGCGCAAGCCUGACGACGCAACGCCGCGUGGAGGAUGAAGACCCUCGGGUCGUAAACUCCUUUCGAUCGAGACGAACGGCCUCCGGGUGAACAAUCCGGAGGAGUGACGGUACCGAGAGAAGAAGCCCCGGCUAACUCCGUGCCAGCAGCCGCGGUAAUACGGGGGGGGCAAGCGUUGUUCGGAAUUACUGGGCGUAAAGGGCUCGUAGGCGGCCAACUAAGUCAGACGUGAAAUCCCUCGGCUUAACCGGGGAACUGCGUCUGAUACUGGAUGGCUUGAAUCCGGGAGAGGGAUGCGGAAUUCCAGGUGUAGCGGUGAAAUGCGUAGAUAUCUGGAGGAACACCGGUGGCGAAGGCGGCAUCCUGGACCGGUAUUGACGCUGAGGAGCGAAAGCCAGGGGAGCAAACGGGAUUAGAUACCCCGGUAGUCC